Molecule: ribosomal RNA, 254 nt
Filed under: uncultured bacterium
Lineage: Bacteria
Description: partial 16S ribosomal RNA
Rfam family: Bacterial small subunit ribosomal RNA
Source: RNAcentral
UACGUAGGGGGCGAGCGUUGUCCGGAUUCAUUGGGCGUAAAGAGCUCGUAGGCGGCUUCGUAAGUCAGGUGUGAAACCUCCAGGCUCAACCUGGAGCCGCCACCUGAUACUGCGAUGGCUUGAGUCCAGUAGGGGCGCGCGGAAUUCCUGGUGUAGCGGUGAAAUGCGCAGAUAUCAGGAGGAACACCAAUUGCGAAGGCAGCUCGCUGGGACGUUACUGACGCUGAGGAGCGAAAGCGUGGGGAGCGAACAGG